RNAcentral lists this ribosomal RNA (253 nucleotides) under uncultured bacterium. RNAcentral describes it as "partial 16S ribosomal RNA". It matches the Rfam family "Bacterial small subunit ribosomal RNA", at positions 524 to 776 of the family's 1533-position model. The record is from RNAcentral.
UACGUAGGGGGCAAGCGUUGUCCGGAAUCAUUGGGCGUAAAGCGCGUGUAGGCGGCUCGGUAAGUCCGCUCUGAAAGCCCAGGGCUCAACCCUGGGAUGCGGGCGGAUACUGCCUGGCUCGAGUCCGGAAGAGGCGAGUGGAAUUCCCGGUGUAGCGGUGAAAUGCGCAGAUAUCGGGAGGAACACCAAUGGCGAAGGCAGCUCGCUGGGACGUGACUGACGCUGAGACGCGAAAGCGUGGGGAGCAAACAGG